CCCACUGAUAAUUCUUAAAGGGCCGCGGUAAUUUGACCGUGCAAAGGUAGCAUAAUCGUUAGUUUUUUAAUUGGAAUCUUGUAUGAAUGGUUGAACAAAAGAAUAACUGUCUCUAUUUUUUAUUUGAAUUUAACUUUUAAGUGAAAAGGCUUAAAUGAUUUAAAAAGACGAUAAGACCCUAUAAAGCUUGAUAAAUUUUACUAUUGAAUUGAAUGUAUUAUAUAGUAUAAUAGUUCAGUAUAAAAAGUUUAUUUUGUUGGGGCGACAAUGAUAAAAUGUUUGUUAACUGUUUAUGAUGAGGACAAAAAUUAUUGGUUACAAGUGUAAAUGAUCCUUUUUAGAGAUUAAAAGUUUAAGUUACUUUAGGGAUAACAGCGUUAUUUUUCUUGAGAGUCCAUAUCGAAAGAAAAGUUUGCGACCUCGAUGUUGAAUUAAAAUUUCUAUAUAAUUGCAGAAGU
RNAcentral lists this ribosomal RNA (458 nucleotides) under Austruca lactea. Its description in RNAcentral is "partial 16S ribosomal RNA". It matches the Rfam family "Bacterial large subunit ribosomal RNA", at positions 1862 to 2562 of the family's 2925-position model. Lineage: Eukaryota; Metazoa; Arthropoda; Malacostraca; Decapoda; Ocypodidae. The record is from RNAcentral.